GCUGCAGGCGCAGCAGCGUCGUCCUCUUUAUUCUGGAAGAGAAAGAAAGCAGGAGUCCCAGUGCCAAACAUCACAGCACCCCGGCUACAGAGUGCUCAUACAGCAGAUUUUUGUCUUCAGAGAGAAUGUUAGAAAUCCUCAGCAAUGAGCAUUCUGCCUUUGACUCAGAUGUGACCUAGUUCCCCAGAUGAUUGCAGGGCAGUGCCACGGUACCAGAAAUGACAUUUAUGGGGCAGAAGGAGAGAGAAAAUGAAGCUGUGCAUCUUAGCUGCUGAUGAAUGAGGAAAAAUCUCUCUAAAUUGAACAAAAAGAGAGUAUUUCCCAGAGCUGAUCUAACAUUGUGCCUGAAGAGGCACUGAGGAUGAAGUAUUUCCCUUUGACAGAAGGGAGGAUGAAAAGCUACGAUCUUGGCCUGCUUUGGGGAAUGACACCAGGUAUUCUAACGUGAUUUGUUUAAUGCUCAGCAGAAGUAUUUUGAUUUCAGUGUGUCUGUGACUGAAAUGGACCAGUGAUCUCACCCAUUGCCUUUUAAAUUUUGGAAAGAUGGCAGCCUGUGUUUGUGGAACCAUGCUGACUCAGCCAGAAUUUCCACGUGGAGGAAGAUGUGAUGGGAGAGGAGAGGAGCAACCUUCACUAAAUGAGACAAGGACUGGAACAGGGGCUGUGAAAGGUGGGUCAGAACACUAGGAUGCUGCAGGAAGCCGAGCUCGGAGGAUUCCAAGCCUUUCUGGAUGCUUCCCAGGAUGGAUUUCUAUAGGAAAUGAGGCUUUUGGGUGGCCCUGUAGUGAGUACAAGUCGUUUUCAAGUUGCAGUUCUUGCCCAUAGCUGGCUCAUUAAAGGUGUGACCUGCAGCUCAUCC
This is a long non-coding RNA of Tympanuchus pallidicinctus (lesser prairie-chicken), 859 nucleotides long. RefSeq lists it as uncharacterized. The record is from RefSeq and is a predicted model, not a curated record. The transcript has 2 exons. NCBI's taxonomy places the organism in Eukaryota, Metazoa, Chordata, Aves, Galliformes, Phasianidae.